This 253-nucleotide ribosomal RNA is filed under the name uncultured bacterium. Its description in RNAcentral is "partial 16S ribosomal RNA". It matches the Rfam family "Bacterial small subunit ribosomal RNA", at positions 524 to 776 of the family's 1533-position model. The record is from RNAcentral.
UACGAAGGGGGCGAGCGUUGUUCGGAUUUACUGGGCGUAAAGAGUGCGUAGGUGGUGCCCUAAGUCUGUUGUGAAAUCUCCCGGCUUAACUGGGAGGGUGCGGUGGAAACUGGGGUGCUUGAGUGUGGGAGAGGUAAGCGGAAUUCCUGGUGUAGCGGUGAAAUGCGUAGAUAUCAGGAGGAACACCGGUGGUGUAGACGGCUUACUGGACCACGACUGACACUGAGGCACGAAAGCGUGGGUAGCAAACAGG